This 1477-nucleotide ribosomal RNA is filed under the name Candidatus Minimicrobia vallesae. Its description in RNAcentral is "Bacterial small subunit ribosomal RNA". It matches the Rfam family "Bacterial small subunit ribosomal RNA". The record is from Rfam by way of RNAcentral. Lineage: Bacteria; Candidatus Saccharimonadota.
UUAACGGAGAGUUUGAUCCUGGCUCAGGACGAACGCUGGCGGCGUGCCUAACACAUGCAAGUCGAACGGCAGCGAGAGGGUGCUUGCAAAAUGUCGGCGAGUGGCGAACGGGUGAGUAACGCGUAGGAACCUGCCCCAAAGUGAGGGAUAACUGCUGGAAACGGUAGCUAAUACCGCAUAUGGUAUUCGGAUUAAAGGACAAAUCAGCAAUAGGAGAAGCCUGCGUUGGAUUAGCUAGUUGGUGGGGUAAAGGCUCACCAAGGCGACGAUCCAUAGCCGGCCUGAGAGGAUGAUCGGCCACACUGGGACUGAGACACGGCCCAGACUCCUACGGGAGGCAGCAGUGGGGAAUCUUCCACAAUGGGCGAAAGCCUGAUGGAGCAACGCCGCGUGAGGGAUGAAGGCCUUCGGGUUGUAAACUUCUUUUAUGAGUGAAGAAUAUGACGGUAACUCACGAGAAAGCGCCGGCUAACUACGUGCCAGCAGCCGCGGUAAUACGUAGGGCGCGAGCGUUGUCCGGAAUUAUUGGGCGUAAAGAGCUGCGUAGGCGGUUUAAUAAGUGAAUAGUGAAACCUGGUGGCUCAACCAUACAGACUAUUAUUAAAACUGUUAAACUAGAGAAUGGUAGAGGAAACUGGAAUUCCUUGUGUAGCGGUGAAAUGCGUAGAUAUUAGGAGGAACACCGGUGGCGAAGGCAGCUUUCUGGACUGUAACUGACGCUGAGGCUCGAAAGCGUGGGGAGCGAACAGGAUUAGAUACCCCGGUAGUCCACGCCGUAAACGAUGGGUACUAGGUGUUGGAGGUAUCGACCCCUUCAGUGCCGAAGCUAACGCAUUAAGUACCCCGCCUGGGGAGUACGACCGCAAGGUUGAAACUCAAAGGAAUUGACGGGGGCCCGCACAAGCGGUGGAGCAUGUGGUUUAAUUCGAAGCAACGCGAAGAACCUUACCAGGUCUUGACAUCCAGAGAACGUCUCGAGAGAUAGAGUGUGCCUUCGGGAACCCUGUGACAGGUGGUGCAUGGCUGUCGUCAGCUCGUGUCGUGAGAUGUUGGGUUAAGUCCCGCAACGAGCGCAACCCUUGUGAAUAGUUGUAUUUUUCUAGUCAGACUGCCCCGGUAACGGGGAGGAAGGAGGGGAUGACGUCAAGUCAGCAUGUCCCUUAUGACCUGGGCUACACACGUGCUACAAUGGCUAGUACAAAGAGAAGCGAAGCCGCGAGGUGAAGCUAAUCUCAUCAAAGCCAGUCUCAGUUCGGAUUGUAGGCUGCAACUCGCCUACAUGAAGUCGGAAUCGCUAGUAAUCGCGGAUCAGCAAGUCGCGGUGAAUACGUUCCCGGGCCUUGUACACACCGCCCGUCACACCACGAAAGUGAGUAACACCCGAAGUCCGAUUCGGCGGCCUAAGGUGGGAUAGAUGAUUGGGGUGAAGUCGUAACAAGGUAGCCGUAUCGGAAGGUGCGGAUGGAUCACCUCCUUU